AUGGCUCGUGCUGUUGUUCCGUUAAAUUUUAAUGCGUUCCUUGAGAAAGCAAAGUUGAAAGAUGAUGGUAGCAAUUACACGGACUGGGUCCGUAACCUGAGGAUUAUCCUCAUUGCUGCACAGAAAAGUUACGUCCUGGAAGCACCGCUGGGUGCCAGGCCUGCUGCUGAUGCAACUGACGACGUUAAGAACGUCUGGCAGAGCAAAGCUGAUGACUACUCGAUAGUUCAGUGUGCCAUGCUUUACGGCUUAGAACCGGGUCUUCAACGAUGUUUUGAACGUCAUGGAGCAUAUGAGAUGUUUCAGGAGUUGAAGUUAAUAUUUCAAGCAAAUGCCCAGAUUGAGAGAUAUGAAGUCUCCAAUAAGUUCUAUAGCUGCAAGAUGGAGGAGAAUAGUUCUGUCAGUGAACACAUACUCAAAAUGUCUGGGUAUAAUAAUCACUUGAUUCAACUGGGAGUUAAUCUUCCUGAUGAUAGUGUCAUUGACAGAAUUCUCCAAUCACUGCCACCAAGCUACAAGAGCUUCGUGAUGAACUAUAAUAUGCAAGGGAUGAACAAAACUAUUCCCGAGCUCUUCGCAAUGCUAAAAGCUGCGGAGGUAGAAAUCAAAAAGGAGCAUCAAGUGUUGAUGGUUAACAAGACCACCAGUUUUAAGAAAAAGGGCAAAGGGAAGAAGAAGGGGAACUUUAAAAAGAACAGCAAGCAAGUUGCUGCUCAAGAGAAGAAACCCAAGUCUGGACCUAAGCCUGGAACUGAGUACUUCUACUGCAAGCAGACUGGACACUGGAAGCGGAACUGCCCCAAGUAUUUGGCGAAUAAGAAGGAUGGCAAAGUGAACAAAGGUAUAUGUGAUAUACAUGUUAUUGAUGUGUACCUUACUAAUGCUCGCAGUAGCACCUGGGUAUUUGAUACUGGUUCUGUUGCUAAUAUUUGCAACUCGAAACAGGGACUACGAAUUAAGCGAAGAUUGGCUAAGGACGAGGUGACGAUGCGCGUGGGAAAUGGUUCCAAAGUCGAUGUGAUCGCGGUCGGCACGGUACCUCUACAUCUACCAUCGGGAUUAGUUUUAGACCUAAAUAAUUGUUAUUUGGUACCAGCGUUGAGCAUGAACAUUAUAUCUAGAUCUUGUUUGAUGCGAGAUGGUUAUUCAUUUAAAUUAGAGAAUAAUGGUUGUUCUAUUUAUAUGUGUAAUAUCUUUUAUGGUCAUGCACCCUUGAAGAGUGGUCUAUUUUUAUUAAAUCUCGAUAGUAGUGAUACA
This 1257-nucleotide ribosomal RNA is filed under the name Triticum aestivum (bread wheat). RNAcentral's name for it is "partial small subunit ribosomal RNA". Lineage: Eukaryota; Viridiplantae; Streptophyta; Magnoliopsida; Poales; Poaceae. The record is from RNAcentral.